CAGCCGCCACGGGAAAACGUAGGUGGCAAGCGUUGUCCGGAAUUAUUGGGCGUAAAGCGCGCGCAGGCGGAUCAGUUAGUCUGUCUUAAAAGUUCGGGGCUUAACCCCGUGAUGGGAUGGAAACUGCUGAUCUAGAGUAUCGGAGAGGAAAGUGGAAUUCCUAGUGUAGCGGUGAAAUGCGUAGAUAUUAGGAAGAACACCAGUGGCGAAGGCGACUUUCUGGACGAAAACUGACGCUGAGGCGCGAAAGCCAGGGGAGCGAACGGGAUUAGAUACCCCGGUAGUCCCUGUCUCUUAUACC
Molecule: ribosomal RNA, 301 nt
Filed under: uncultured bacterium
Lineage: Bacteria
Description: partial 16S ribosomal RNA
Rfam family: Bacterial small subunit ribosomal RNA
Source: RNAcentral